UACGGAGGGGACUAGCGUUGUUCGGAAUUACUGGGCGUAAAGCGCACGUAGGCGGAUUUGUAAGUCAGGGGUGAAAUCCCGGGGCUCAACCUCGGAACUGCCUUUGAUACUGCAAAUCUCGAGUCCGGAAGAGGUGAGUGGAAUUCCUAGUGUAGAGGUGAAAUUCGUAGAUAUUAGGAAGAACACCAGUGGCGAAGGCGGCUCACUGGCCCAUAACUGACGCUGAGGCACGAAAGCGUGGGGAGCAAACAGG
This 253-nucleotide ribosomal RNA is filed under the name uncultured bacterium. RNAcentral's name for it is "partial 16S ribosomal RNA". It matches the Rfam family "Bacterial small subunit ribosomal RNA", at positions 524 to 776 of the family's 1533-position model. The record is from RNAcentral.